GCAAACCUGAAUAUGAAGAAUUUAUUUAAUCUAAUAUAAAUAGGAAAAGGUGGACAAUAUAAAUGGCCCCUAAAUCUAUGGUGGCAUCCAUUAUGCAUAAAUUACUGUGCUGAGGAAUGCUAUGAAACAGAAUGUAAAUCUCUUGGGUCAUUUCAUUUCAAAGUUAGAGAAGAACAAACAAUUCCAUAAAAACAGGAGCAUAUGGGUAUACAGUAUACAGACAUCUGGCAGGCAAGGGGCAGUAACCCAAAGGCAGCCUCCCUGGAAGCAGAAGGAGAAGAGCUCCAUUAUCUCAUUUAUCACCAACAGACUCCUCGGCCAAACAAUGUUUUCCAUGAGCGUGCAAGUAGAACCUCGCCCAAGAAAAGUCAAACUAUCCCUGCAAGGGAAGAACGCCCAACGUGGUAGUUCUCCUGAGUUCCCAGGAACAUUUUAGAAGUGGGCACUAUUAUCCAAGUUAUUUUGGAACACCGUGCGUGCACGGGAAUGCUGCCGUUAGUUUACCCUGGGAGACAUCCUAUCUUGCAAGGGGGUUCAUAGGUUGAUAUGCAUGCAAAAAAAAUCACAGUGGUGGAUAAUGUAGAUGGAGACAGUGCAAAAAGGCAGGGUUUUAAGUGUUUGGUGUACUGGAACAUAAUUCAGGAAGGCCUGGAUUCAAAUUCCAACUCUCUCACCUAUUAGCUGUGUGACCCUGGACAAUUUAACCCUCUAAGGCUCAGGCAACUCUCUGACGUUUAUAUUAAGUUGUAGACCAGGGGUAUUGAGGCAGUCCCCACACUUGGCUUAUCAUUGAUCCUUGGUGGACUGACUCUUUUUGUACUAAUGAUUCACUGCAAAUUCAUGCAUUCGUUAAUGGAGGACAGAGUGAGUUUUGUUGUUCUGUAUCACAAUCAAGGAAGCAGCUCUGGAGCUCAGUGCAUGGAGUACUGUGUCUGGAACCAGGAGCACCAGCUUUCAAAUCUGGCCUCUGGUGCUUAGUAGCUGAAUGGCCUUGGGGAAGUGAUUUAACCUUUCUUAAUCCACUGGUGUGACAAAGCACUCCAGUAUCUUUGCCAAAUCCAGGGACAGCAUCAAUGUGCUAUGAUCCAAGAUCAUGAAGAGCAGGUACAACUGAAUGACAACAACAACAAUCCAAGGCAAAUGGAUUUAACUCUAUAAAGUGCUCUCAAGUUUUU
RNAcentral lists this long non-coding RNA (1175 nucleotides) under Sarcophilus harrisii (Tasmanian devil). Its description in RNAcentral is "lncRNA (ENSSHAG00000027786.1)". Lineage: Eukaryota; Metazoa; Chordata; Mammalia; Dasyuromorphia; Dasyuridae. The record is from RNAcentral.